AAGUCUGACGGAGCAACGCCGCGUGAGUGAUGACGGCCUUCGGGUUGUAAAGCUCUGUUAAUCGGGACGAAAGGCCUUCUUGCGAAUAGUUAGAAGGAUUGACGGUACCGGAAUAGAAAGCCACGGCUAACUACGUGCCAGCAGCCGCGGUAAUACGUAGGUGGCAAGCGUUGUCCGGAAUUAUUGGGCGUAAAGCGCGCGCAGGCGGAUCAGUCAGUCUGUCUUAAAAGUUCGGGGCUUAACCCCGUGAUGGGAUGGAAACUGCUGAUCUAGAGUAUCGGAGAGGAAAGUGGAAUUCCUAGUGUAGCGGUGAAAUGCGUAGAUAUUAGGAAGAACACCAGUGGCGAAGGCGACUUUCUGGACGAAAACUGACGCUGAGGCGCGAAAGCCAGGGGAGCGAACGGGAUUAGAUACCCCGGUAGUCCUGGCCGUAAACGAUGGGUACUAGGUGUAGGAGGUAUCGACCCCUUCUGUGCCGGAGUUAACGCAAUAAGUACCCCGCCCUGGGGAGUACGACCGCAAGGGUUGAAACUCAAGGAAUUGACGGGGGGCCCGCACAAGCGGUGGAGUAUGUGGGUUUAUUUCGACG
Molecule: ribosomal RNA, 589 nt
Filed under: Veillonella parvula
Lineage: Bacteria; Bacillati; Bacillota; Negativicutes; Veillonellales; Veillonellaceae
Description: bacterial SSU rRNA
Rfam family: Bacterial small subunit ribosomal RNA
Source: RNAcentral